This 267-nucleotide long non-coding RNA is filed under the name Hordeum vulgare. Its description in RNAcentral is "long non-coding RNA (HVUL_LNC010349)". Lineage: Eukaryota; Viridiplantae; Streptophyta; Magnoliopsida; Poales; Poaceae. The record is from RNAcentral.
UUCGGGGUCUUCAAUUCCAACUCCUUCGUCAAACGUGGUUUCUAUCGUCGUAAUACAUAAAGAAGUAAUAAGUUGCUCACUCAAAAACAUAUCAAAAACUCACUUUAAAAAUGUUGCCUAAUUCUGAUAAAUCUAUACUAUCAUUUUAAAAAUAUAUGUCUCUGGUUUUGGUGAAAGGAUUAUUUUAAAAAUCAUUUUAACACGAGCAAAAAUAUUCCAAAUAGCCUUUUUAAUUAUUACAAAUAGAAAAGUUGUCUUAAAAAUUUG